RNAcentral lists this ribosomal RNA (496 nucleotides) under uncultured bacterium. RNAcentral describes it as "partial 16S ribosomal RNA". It matches the Rfam family "Bacterial small subunit ribosomal RNA", at positions 29 to 507 of the family's 1533-position model. The record is from RNAcentral.
AUGAACGCUGGCGGCGUGCCUAAUACAUGCAAGUCGAGCGAACGGACGAGAAGCUUGCUUUUCUGAUGUUAGCGGCGGACGGGUGAGUAACACGUGGAUAACCUACCUAUAAGACUGGGAUAACUUCGGGAAACCGGAGCUAAUACCGGAUAAUAUUUUGAACCGCAUGGUUCAAAAGUGAAAGACGGUCUUGCUGUCACUUAUAGAUGGAUCCGCGCUGCAUUAGCUAGUUGGUAAGGUAACGGCUUACCAAGGCAACGAUGCAUAGCCGACCUGAGAGGGUGAUCGGCCACACUGGAACUGAGACACGGUCCAGACUCCUACGGGAGGCAGCAGUAGGGAAUCUUCCGCAAUGGGCGAAAGCCUGACGGAGCAACGCCGCGUGAGUGAUGAAGGUCUUCGGAUCGUAAAACUCUGUUAUUAGGGAAGAACAUAUGUGUAAGUAACUGUGCACAUCCUGACGGUACCUAAUCAGAAAGCCACGGCUAACUACGUG